AACGUGAUCAUGAAGUGUGUGAAGUUGUCUUUUUGUCCUUUUUUGCAACUCAUUCAUUCUGAAUUUACACCUUAGUUCAUUUCUUCCAGACAUGUUAUGGUUAAAUGCAAAGGUCAUCUAAAUACAUUCAUCCGGCUACAACCCCCCCCCCCCCCAUAAAACAUCGAUACUAUGGAAAUGGGGGAUUACUUAGUCAGGUCUUAAUUAUAGACGAGUGAUAAUAAAAGAGAAUAAACCAGACAAAUGCAGCAAUUUAAUACAUAUAAAAUGCAUUCAAGUGGAAACAAAUUUUGCUGGAUCACUCGGAGAUAUGAAAGGGUAUUUACACUGUGGGUUAUGGCCAACACUGGCAACACAGAUGGUUUUAAAAAAACCCAAUGCAAAUAAGAUAUGCCGCUAAUCAAAUGAUGUCUACAUACACAGUAGUGCAGUGUAGCGUGGUUAAGGUUGGAGCUUUUGCAUUUUCACAUGCGUAAAAACAACAUCCUGGUAACAGAUCCACCUCAGUCCAUAUCAAACCAGGAUGAAGGCAGAUAAACAUCUUGGUUUAUGCUGUCAGUCACCUCCGUGUGUCAAGUCAUGCACGUCGGGGUUAGAUGUUGAGUUGAGGUCUGGUUACUGUGGGGGGCAGAGACUUUUAACAGGCUGGGCAGAUGUGAAUGUGAAUAACAUCGAUGGCUACUUAAAUUCAGACAUGGGCAGGGAUGAAUGCCUAUUGGCUAGAAACUAUUUGAUCCUCCAGGCUGAACAGGAACUCCAGCAACACUUACUAGUUACUAGUUACCUCCGCCAAGGAUGUCAUGUUAUUGUCUCCGGUGUGUGUCCGUCUGUAUGCUUGUUGGUUUCUUUCUUUGUCUGUCUGUCAGCAGGAUUACGAAAAAAAAAAAAAUAAUAAUCACAAUAUUUCAGGGAAUAUCUGCGCUAAUGACAUUUUUGAUGACAUGACAGAAUACUUCAAAAUAUUGUAUUAUUCAUUUAAAGGUUAUACAAUUGCAAUGAAAUUAGUGUUGUAGUUGUAUGUCAGCAUCAAUGUUUACAGUUUGCCUUCAACGUUGCGAGAUAGGGCAUUUACGCUGCAUUCAUGUGGUUUCGGAAUAAUCGGGGAAAGAAAUGAGUUUCCGACUGGAAAAAUCACACUGGAUUGUGAGACAGUGCGUGCCUUGGUGGAGGUCUGCACUCUCUGAGUGCCCUUCUAGUUAUCACUUGUAACCCAGAGGAGUGGGAAUAGGUUCAGUAACUGUCCCGCUCCAAAAUGAGUGAAAGUGCCAAUUUCUUACAGAAGUGCGACAAAAUUACUUAAUUCAAUAAAAUAAUGUACAAAUGUGAUUCAGUUCGAAUAGCCCUGUAGACCUUUUACGUGUACUGCUCAAAUACAGUGUCUACAAUUAUUUUCUAUUCUGCUGCAUGUACACUUCUGGUUUCUUGUUGCAGCAACAGUGGGUGGGUUGAAAUAAAUACAAUUCAACCACAUUAGAAGUCUUUUACCAGACAUCUGAAUCCCAGUGAUUACAUGAGAAUGACGAUCAAAAGAAUUAAGUGAAACAAUAUGCAAAGAAAGAAUGUGUGCAAACCAAUCAGACAUCAGAAAAACACUGAAGAGUUCUGAAAA
Long non-coding RNA from Sander lucioperca (pikeperch), 1609 nucleotides. RefSeq lists it as uncharacterized. The transcript is spliced from 2 exons. Lineage: Eukaryota; Metazoa; Chordata; Actinopteri; Perciformes; Percidae. The record is from RefSeq and is a predicted model, not a curated record.